Chloroflexus aurantiacus J-10-fl is the source of this 107-nucleotide regulatory RNA element. It matches the Rfam family "SAM riboswitch aptamer (S box leader)". From Rfam's summary of the family: The SAM riboswitch is found upstream of a number of genes which code for proteins involved in methionine or cysteine biosynthesis in Gram-positive bacteria. The record is from Rfam. NCBI's taxonomy places the organism in Bacteria, Bacillati, Chloroflexota, Chloroflexia, Chloroflexales, Chloroflexaceae.
UGCUCAUCGAGAUGGGCUGAGGGACUGGCCCGAUGACGCCCGGCAACCCCCGCCAGGGAAGGUGCCAAAUCCAGCGGCAAUGGAUAUCAUUGGCCGAAAGAUGAGAG